RNAcentral lists this ribosomal RNA (107 nucleotides) under Periophthalmus magnuspinnatus. The record is from RNAcentral. Lineage: Eukaryota; Metazoa; Chordata; Actinopteri; Gobiiformes; Gobiidae.
UCUUAUUAUUCUUGAGAAUACCUGAUCUCAUCAGAUCUCUGAAGAAAAGCAAGAGCUGGGCUUGGUUAAUACUUGGAUGAAAGACCACUGGGAAUACCAGGUGAGAC